Molecule: unclassified non-coding RNA, 406 nt
Filed under: soil metagenome
Description: partial contains 5.8S ribosomal RNA, internal transcribed spacer 2, and large subunit ribosomal RNA
Rfam family: 5.8S ribosomal RNA (bases 1-121)
Source: RNAcentral
GAUGAAGAACGCAGCGAAAUGCGAUAAGUAAUGUGAAUUGCAGAAUUCAGUGAAUCAUCGAAUCUUUGAACGCACCUUGCGCCCUUUAGCCAUUCCGAAGGGCAUGCCUGUUUGAGUAUCAUGAACACCUCAACUCUUCAUGGUUUUCCGUGAUGAGCUUGGACUUUGGGGGUCUUGCUGGCCUAUGGUCAGCUCCUCUAAAAUAAAUCAGCUUGCCAGUGUUUGGUGGGUAUCACAGGUGUGAUAACUAUCUACGCUUGUGGUUUUCCACCAGGUAACCUUCAGCAGUGGAGGUUCGCUGGAGCUCACAGAUGUGUCUCUCCUCAGUGAGGACAGCUCUUUGAAUGUUUGAUCUCAAAUCAGGUAGGACUACCCGCUGAACUUAAGCAUAUCAAUAAGCGGAGGA